This is a long non-coding RNA of Trematomus bernacchii (emerald rockcod), 355 nucleotides long. RefSeq lists it as uncharacterized. Lineage: Eukaryota; Metazoa; Chordata; Actinopteri; Perciformes; Nototheniidae. The record is from RefSeq and is a predicted model, not a curated record. The transcript has 3 exons.
UGAACCAGAGCCGAUGUCAUAUAUAUUUGGCCGCUGCCGCGAGUGGCGCUGUGGCGCACUUUUGCCAGUGAGACCCUGUCUGCUCAUCCCCCCGCCUUCACAGCGACGUAAAUGCAUACAUAUUUUUCAACUCUGGACAUUACGACCAAAUUAUAAGAUAAAAUGCAAAAAUCUUUUGGCUAUCCCUCCAUGCAGCCCCUGCUCUUCCUGUAAAGAGACUUGUGCCCCUACCAAAGGAGCUGAUGUUUCUGAUGCCGGAACCAUCCGCCCCAACACCAACAGAGACCAACAUCACUGUUCCAGUGGCUCCUGAGAUUUCUGCAGAGCCCUGUCAACCGACACUGCAUCCACCAGC